AUGGCCCAAGCUUGGGCCUUCCUCCUCCCGGUCCUCGUCCUCGGCUCCUACGUAACCAGCCUCUUCUUCCCCAGCUAUAUAUCCAACCCCCUCUGCGGCGGCGAUGGGGGCAGAUCCUUGUUCCUCUGCGCGCAGGCUCCCAAGGACCAGGACCCGUCUCCUGCUGUCAGCACCAUGUACAAGACCGCCUUCCACUUCCAGCCCGCCAAGAACUGGAUGAACGAUCCAUCUGGACCAAUGUACUUCAAUGGCAUCUACCAUGAAUUCUACCAGUAUAAUCUCAACGGUCCCAUUUUUGGUGACAUAGUUUGGGGCCAUUCGGUUUCAACAGACCUUGUCAACUGGAUCGGGCUUGAACCCGCGUUAGUACGGGAUACCCCAAGUGACAUAGACGGUUGCUGGACCGGCUCAGUCACCAUUCUGCCUGGUGGUAAACCGAUCAUCAUAUACACUGGUGGCGACAUAGAUCAACAUCAGGCACAAAACAUCGCGUUUCCCAAAAACCGGUCUGACCCGUACCUGAGGGAAUGGAUCAAAGCACCCAAUAACCCGGUGCUCCGACCGGACGAACCAGGGAUGAACUCCAUCGAGUUCAGGGAUCCGACAACCGGUUGGAUCGGACCGGACGGACUGUGGAGGAUGGCAGUUGGUGGUGAGCUGAACGGCUACAGUGCUGCGCUUUUGUACAAGAGUGAAGACUUUCUGAAUUGGACAAAAGUUGAUCACCCACUGUAUUCACAUAAUGGAUCCAAUAUGUGGGAGUGUCCGGAUUUCUUUGCGGUAUUGCCGGGCAAUAACGCUGGACUGGAUCUGUCCGCAGCGAUCCCACAAGGCGCCAAGCAUGCCCUCAAAAUGAGCGUGGAUUCAGUUGACAAGUACAUGAUCGGGGUGUAUGAUCUCCAACGUGAUGCCUUUGUGCCAGAUAAUGUCGUAGAUGACCGUCGGUUGUGGCUGAGAAUAGAUUAUGGCACUUUCUAUGCUUCAAAAUCAUUCUUUGACUCGAACAAGAACAGGAGGAUCAUAUGGGGUUGGUCUAGGGAGACAGAUAGUCCUUCAGAUGACCUUGAAAAAGGUUGGGCAGGACUCCAUACAAUCCCCAGGACCAUUUGGUUAGCCGGCGAUGGCAAGCAGUUGUUACAAUGGCCAGUUGAGGAGAUUGAGUCCCUUCGAACAAAUGAAAUCAGCCAUCAAGGAAUAGAGCUCAACAAGGGAGAUCUAUUUGAGAUCAAGGAAGUUGACGCUUUUCAGGCUGAUGUAGAGAUAGAUUUUGAGCUGGCGUCCAUCGAUGACGCCGAUCCUUUUGAUCCUUCCUGGCUUUUGGACCCCGAGAAGCAUUGUGGAGAAGCGGGUGCAUCAGUUCCUGGUGGUAUAGGUCCAUUUGGACUUGUCAUUCUGGCCUCCGACAACAUGGACGAGCACACUGAGGUGUAUUUCAGAGUCUACAAGUCACAGGAAAAGUACAUGGUACUCAUGUGCUCUGAUCUAAGAAGGUCUUCCCUGAGACCAGAUCUGGAGAAACCAGCCUAUGGAGGCUUCUUUGAAUUUGAUCUUGAAAAGGAAAGGAAGAUAUCACUCAGAACUCUGAUUGACCGGUCGGCAGUGGAGAGCUUCGGUGGCGGUGGCAGGGUUUGCAUCACAUCCAGAGUUUAUCCGGCGGUGCUCGCCGACGUCGGCAGGGCCCACAUUUACGCAUUCAACAAUGGAAGUGCCACGGUCAGGGUGCCACAGCUCAGCGCAUGGACCAUGAGGAAGGCACAAGUGAAUGUGGAGAAGGGUUGGAGUGCUAUUUAA
Molecule: ribosomal RNA, 1791 nt
Filed under: Triticum aestivum (bread wheat)
Lineage: Eukaryota; Viridiplantae; Streptophyta; Magnoliopsida; Poales; Poaceae
Description: partial small subunit ribosomal RNA
Source: RNAcentral